This 612-nucleotide ribosomal RNA is filed under the name uncultured bacterium. Its description in RNAcentral is "bacterial SSU rRNA". It matches the Rfam family "Bacterial small subunit ribosomal RNA", at positions 338 to 951 of the family's 1533-position model. The record is from RNAcentral.
CCUACGGGAGGCAGCAGUAAGGAAUAUUGGUCAAUGGACGAAAGUCUGAACCAGCCAUGCCGCGUGAAGGAUUAAGGCCCUCUGGGUUGUAAACUUCUUUUAUCUGGGACGAAAAAAGGGUAUUCUUACUCACUUGACGGUACCAGAGGAAUAAGCACCGGCUAACUCCGUGCCAGCAGCCGCGGUAAUACGGAGGGUGCAAGCGUUAUCCGGAUUUACUGGGUUUAAAGGGUGCGUAGGUGGGCUUGUAAGUCAGUGGUGAAAUCUCCGGGCUUAACCCGGAAACUGCCAUUGAUACUAUAGGUCUUGAAUUAUCUGGAGGUAAGCGGAAUAUGUCAUGUAGCGGUGAAAUGCUUAGAUAUGACAUAGAACACCAAUUGCGAAGGCAGCUUACUACGGAUAUAUUGACACUGAGGCACGAAAGCGUGGGGAUCAAACAGGAUUAGAUACCCUGGUAGUCCACGCCCUAAACGAUGGAUACUCGACAUCAGCGAUACACUGUUGGUGUCUGAGCGAAAGCAUUAAGUAUCCCACCUGGGAAGUACGAUCGCAAGAUUGAAACUCAAAUGAAUUGACCGGNNGAGAGNGCGACGACGACGACGAGGGAGGAGG